RNAcentral lists this long non-coding RNA (388 nucleotides) under Elaeis guineensis (African oil palm). RNAcentral's name for it is "long non-coding RNA (EGUI_LNC021831)". Lineage: Eukaryota; Viridiplantae; Streptophyta; Magnoliopsida; Arecales; Arecaceae. The record is from RNAcentral.
UUUCCAAUUAGCUCUCUUUUUUUUUGGUAUAGGAAGAUGAGAUUGGAGGGGGGUGACUUGGUGCAACUACCUCCCCUUGGCGUGAUCAUAAGGCCCCAAUCCCUGCUGGAGAAUAUUCGAUUAGAAGAGCAAUUUUUAAGAGAAGACUCCUCCUCCCCACCAUAUAGACUGACCUAUGGCCAAGCCCAACGGGUGAGUAUGUCCCCCUUGCACCACCGUGGGCCAGAGGACUAGAAACCUCUUGCAGACCCCAUACUUGAACCGUCAGGAUCAGCUCCCUCGCAGUCAUGUACGUUCUGAUAUUUAAUCAAAGCUGCAGUGUCCUCUACGACUCGAACUCGAGCUGCUUGGUUGGAAGCCAGUGGCCUGUUCCACUGGAUUACCAUCG